This is a long non-coding RNA of Dalotia coriaria, 878 nucleotides long. RefSeq lists it as uncharacterized. The record is from RefSeq and is a predicted model, not a curated record. The transcript has 2 exons. Lineage: Eukaryota; Metazoa; Arthropoda; Insecta; Coleoptera; Staphylinidae.
CCCGGACACUUGAACGGCUCGUACGGGUGGCAAGCGUCACCGACUGCAACAUAACCAACAAAAACACAUUCCAAGUUAUAUCAUGUUGAUACAAUCAAGUCCUACUUUGUUAUUUAUUUUCUACGAACCUAAUCUACAUUGGGACAUUAGACGUAAUGCACCGGUGUGGCCAUGUUGCGAGUCAUGAAUGGCGCCCGACCGUAGACACUACGAGGGUAGUUAAUGGAAAACGUAAUUUGGUUUGCGUUUCAUUUAUUUCCACCAACGCAACACAACACAAAUGCGGCGGGAGUUUCACGCGUUUGUCGUUGCGGUAAGAAUCAACAGUGUUGUUGUUUUUUUGUUGCGCGGCCAUUUUAUUUACUUGUAAUGUUAAUUCUUGUUUUCGGUGUUUGUUUGGGAAUUGUUUGUGUUUGUGUGUUUGCUAAAACGCAAAAUGGCGAACGUGUGAGCGUCGGCGCGUGUUUUAUUCAUUUCGUUCUCACUUCGCGUCACGCGCGAGUAGAAUUCCCAAAUGUUUCGCUUUCACGUCGCCUUUUCCACUUUCCGGCUUUCCGCUUUACGCGUCCAGGGGCAGGUGUGCAUCCGUCGGCGGGUUAUUUUCGAAACAAAUUGUAAAAGAUAGGGUUAUUCGCGUAACUCGUUUUAUUUUAUGUUUUUCUUCGCGUUUUUUUCUACAAAAUUCCAAGUAAAAACCUGUUUAUCUUCAAUUUACUUUAGUGCUACGUAUUUCUACUGGUCGCUUGCGCAAACAAACAGAAAAAUUAAAUUAUAAAGAAAACACACUUCUAUAUUGAUAUUAAAUUAUAAAUAAAUAAAAACGAACAAUGUGUGCAUUGUAACAGAACUAAAAUAUUAAUAAAAAUAACAAAACUGCA